CCUACGGGAGGCAGCAGUGAGGAAUAUUGGUCAAUGGACGAGAGUCUGAACCAGCCAAGUAGCGUGAAGGAUGACUGCCCUAUGGGUUGUAAACUUCUUUUAUAUGGGAAUAAAAUGUUCCACGUGUGGGUUUUUGUAUGUACCCUAUGAAUAAGGAUCGGCUAACUCCGUGCCAGCAGCCGCGGGAAUACGGUGGAUCCGAGCGUUAUCCGGAUUUAUUGGGUUUAAAGGGAGCGUAGGUGGGUUGUUAAGUCAGUUGUGAAAGUUUGCGGCUCAACCGUAAAAUUGCAGUUGAAACUGGCAGUCUUGAGUACAGUAGAGGUAGGCGGAAUGCGUGGUGUAGCGGUGAAAUGCAUAGAUAUCACGCAGAACUCCGAUUGCGAAGGCAGCAUACCGGCGCUCAAUUGACGCUCAGGCACGAAAGUGUGGGUAUCGAACAGGAUUAGAUACCCCGGUAGUC
This 460-nucleotide ribosomal RNA is filed under the name uncultured bacterium. RNAcentral describes it as "partial 16S ribosomal RNA". It matches the Rfam family "Bacterial small subunit ribosomal RNA", at positions 338 to 795 of the family's 1533-position model. The record is from RNAcentral.